This 1510-nucleotide ribosomal RNA is filed under the name metagenome. RNAcentral describes it as "bacterial SSU rRNA". It matches the Rfam family "Bacterial small subunit ribosomal RNA". The record is from RNAcentral.
AGAGUUUGAUCCUGGCUCAGAACGAACGCUGGCGGCGUGGAUUAGGCAUGCAAGUCGAACGGGAAAGUUCGCUUCGGCGGACGAGUAUAGUGGCGAACGGGUGAGUAACACGUGAGUAACUUGCCCUCCAGUGGGGGAUAAGGCCUGAAAGGCCGGUAAUACCGCAUGUGCUCCGGUUGCCUUAUGGCGGCCGGAGGAAAGCUGGGGAUCUUCGGACCUGGCGCUGGAGGAUAGGCUCGCGUUCUAUUAGCUAGUUGGUGGGGUAACGGCCUACCAAGGCUAUGAUGGAUAGCUGGUCUGAGAGGAUGGUCAGCCACACUGGGAUUGAGAUACGGCCCAGACUCCUACGGGAGGCAGCAGUCUAGAAGCUUCGGCAAUGGGCGAGAGCCUGACCGAGCGACGCCGCGUGUGUGAGGAAGGUUUUCGGAUCGUAAAGCACUUUCAGCGGGGAAGAACCACGACGGGGCCAAUACCCCCGACGUCUGACGGUACCCGCAGAAGAAGCUCCGGCUAACUCCGUGCCAGCAGCCGCGGUGAGACGGGGGGAGCAAGCGUUGUUCGGAUUUAUUGAGCGUAAAGGGCGCGCAGGCGGUUGGGCAAGUUCGGCGUGAAAUCUCCACGGCUUAACCGGGAAGUUGCGUCGAAUACUGCCUGACUUGAGUGCAGGAGAGGAGAGCGGAAUUUCCGGUGUACCGGUGAAAUGGGUAGAUAUCGGAAGGAACACCAGUGGCGAAGGCGGCUCUCUGGCCUGUGACUGACGCUGAGGCGCGAAAAGCCAGGGGAGCGAACGGGAUUAGAUACCCCGGUAGUCCUGGCCGUAAACGAUGGGCACUAGGUGUGGGGAGGUAUCGACCCUCUCCGUGCCGCAGCUAACGCAUUAAGUGCCCCGCCUGGGGAGUACGACCGCAAGGUUGAAACUCAAAGGAAUUGACGGGGCCCCGCACAAGCGGUGGAGCGUGCGGCUUAAUUCGAUGCAACGCGAAGAACCUUACCAGGGCUUGACAUUACCGCAAGGUGCCUGGCGCCGGGUAAAUCCGGUUGCUAUAGGCAAACAGGUGCUGCAUGGCUGUCGUCAGCUCGUGUCGUGAGAUGUUGGGUUAAGUCCCGCAACGAGCGCAACCCUUGUCCUUAGUUACCAGCGGAUCAUGCCGGGAACUCUAAGGAGACUGCCGGUGACAAACCGGAGGAAGGUGGGGAUGAUGUCAAGUCAGCAUGGCCCUUAUGUCCUGGGCUGCACGCGCGCUACAAUGGCAGGUACAGUGGGUUGCAAAACCGCGAGGUCGAGCUAAUCCCAAAAAGCCUGCCCCAGUUCGGAUUGGGGUCUGCAACUCGACCCCAUGAAGUUGGAAUCGCUAGUAAUCGCGGAUCAGCUACGCCGCGGUGAAUACGUUCCCGGGGCUUGUACACACCGCCCGUCAAGUGACCCGAGUCGGGUGCUCCCGAAGUCGCUCACCCAACCCGUAAGGGAGGGAGGUGCCGAAGGAGUGCCCGGUAAGGGGGACUAAGUCGU